UGAGAGUUUGAUCCUGGCUCAGAGCGAACGCUGGCGGCAGGCCUAACACAUGCAAGUCGAGCGCCGUAGCAAUACGGAGCGGCAGACGGGAGAGUAACACGUGGGAACGUGCCCUUUGGUUCGGAACAACCCAGGGAAACUUGGGCUAAUACCGGAUAAGCCCUUACGGGGAAAGAUUUAUCGCCGAAGGAUCGGCCCGCGUCUGAUUAGCUAGUUGGUGGGGUAAUGGCCCACCAAGGCGACGAUCAGNAGCUGGUCUGAGAGGAUGAUCAGNCUCACUGGGACUGAGACACGGCCCAGACUCCUACGGGAGGCAGCAGUNGGGAA
This 327-nucleotide ribosomal RNA is filed under the name unidentified proteobacterium. RNAcentral describes it as "bacterial SSU rRNA". It matches the Rfam family "Bacterial small subunit ribosomal RNA", at positions 1 to 361 of the family's 1533-position model. Lineage: Bacteria; Pseudomonadati; Pseudomonadota. The record is from RNAcentral.